This 293-nucleotide ribosomal RNA is filed under the name uncultured bacterium. Its description in RNAcentral is "partial 16S ribosomal RNA". It matches the Rfam family "Bacterial small subunit ribosomal RNA", at positions 335 to 621 of the family's 1533-position model. The record is from RNAcentral.
UGCCUACGGGACGCAGCAGUAGGGAAUUUUCGUCAAUGGGCGCAAGCCUGAACGAGCAAUGCCGCGUGAACGAGGAAGGUCUUCGGAUCGUAAAGUUCUGUUGAAGGGGAAAAAGAGCGGAGAGAGGAAAUGAACUCCGAUUGAUAUUACCCUUCGAGGAAGUCGCGGCUAACUACGUGCCAGCAGCCGCGGUAAUACGUAGGUGGCGAGCGUUAUUCGGAUUGAUUGGGCGUAAAGGGUGCGUAGGCGGCCUGCUAAGUCUGGUGUGAAAGGUACCGGCUCAACCGGGACAG